GUGAAUUUUAGGGCGUCUGCUUUUGCAGAGCCUGACCUCCACUUCUAACACUGUGCACUUGAUGGCAAAGAAAGGACUAGUACAACUUCAUUGUUGAAUUAGAACCCUGCUUUGCGGCUUCAUUUUAAACAUUAGUUAAAGUAUGUAACGAAAUAUCGAAACAAAAAA
Molecule: unclassified non-coding RNA, 168 nt
Filed under: uncultured Microbotryomycetes
Lineage: Eukaryota; Fungi; Basidiomycota; Microbotryomycetes
Description: sequence contains ITS1
Source: RNAcentral